GAUGAACGCUGGCGGCGUGCCUAAUACAUGCAAGUCGAGCGAACGGACGAGAAGCUUGCUUCUCUGAUGUUAGCGGCGGACGGGUAAGUAACACGUGGAUAACCUACCUAUAAGACUGGGAUAACUUCGGGAAACCGGAGCUAAUACCGGAUAAUAUUUUGAACCGCAUGGUUCAAAAGUGAAAGACGGUCUUUCUGUCACUUAUAGAUGGAUCCGCGCUGCAUUAGCUAGUUGGUAAGGUAACGGCUUACCAAGGCAACGAGGCAUAGCCGACCGGAGAGGGGGAUCGGCCACACGGGAAGUGAGACACGGUCCAGACUCCUACGGGAGGCAGCAGUAGGGAACGGUCCGCAAUGGGCGAAAGCCUGACGGAGCAACGCCGCGUGAGUGAUGAAGGUCCUCGGAUCGUAAAACUCUGUUAUUAGGGAAGAACAUAUGUGUAAGUAACUGUGCACAGCUUGACGGUACCUAAUCAGAAAGCCACGGCUAACUACGUG
RNAcentral lists this ribosomal RNA (497 nucleotides) under uncultured bacterium. Its description in RNAcentral is "partial 16S ribosomal RNA". It matches the Rfam family "Bacterial small subunit ribosomal RNA", at positions 28 to 507 of the family's 1533-position model. The record is from RNAcentral.